CCGCGCGGCGGCGCGGCUGGGUGAGCGGAGGCAGAGAGGAUCUUCGCACCCAGAGCCGAGGCUGUACGCGAGGGAGCGCAGCUCGGGGACGAGCCGCCUCCCCACCCCCGCGACGCCGUGCCCGGCUCCGGGGCGCAAGCGCUAUGGCAGGACCCCUUUCCCUUCUUCUAGCUCUUCUGAGAACCCUGGAGGGUAUACACAUUCCAACUGGGAGAUCCAUUUGAUUUCUGCUUCAAGUUAAGAUGUUUUGUAUCUUUACCAUAAAGUGAUUGAUGAUUAGAAGCUGAGGAGAAUUGAUAACACAAGAAGAUAAUGCAUUUCGAAGAGGUUUUGGAAACAAACAGCAACAGAAAAAGAUUCUUCGCUAACUUUUGAGAAAGAAAUGAUCUCAAAAUACCCUUGUGUCUACUGAUAUUUCAAGGUAAGGGAAUGCUCUGGAAUGCUUCCCAUUUUCCAAAUGUAAUAUUUUCCAAAAUAAACUUGGGAGUAACUGCAUGGUUGAUAUCAUGUGAACAUUUUAAUUCACACAAUCAUAUU
Molecule: long non-coding RNA, 537 nt
Filed under: Homo sapiens (human)
Lineage: Eukaryota; Metazoa; Chordata; Mammalia; Primates; Hominidae
Description: HSALNT0364268
Source: RNAcentral